AGUCGAACGAGACCUUCGGGUCUAGUGGCGCACGGGUGAGUAGCGCGUGGGAACCUACCCUUUUGUGGGGGAUAACCGAGGGAAACUUCGGCUAAUACUGCAUGCGCCCGGAGCAAUCCGGGGAAAGAUUUGUCGCAAAAGGAUGGGCCCGCGUCGGAUUAGCUAGUUGGUGGGGUAAUGGCCUACCAAGGCUUUGAUCCGUAGCUGGUCUGAGAGGAUGAUCAGCCACACUGGGACUGAGACACGGCCCAGACUCCUACGGGAGGCAGCAGUAGGGAAUAUUGGACAAUGGGCGAAAGCCUGAUCCAGCAAUGCCGCGUGAGUGAGGAAGGCCUUAGGGUUGUAAAGCUCUUUCGGCGGGGACGAUGAUGACGGUACCCGCAGAAGAAGCCCCGGCUAACUUCGUGCCAGCAGCCGCGGUAAUACAGAGGGUGCAAGCGUUGUUCGGAAUUAUUGGGCGUAAAGGGUGCGUAGGCGG
This 478-nucleotide ribosomal RNA is filed under the name uncultured Alphaproteobacteria bacterium. RNAcentral's name for it is "bacterial SSU rRNA". It matches the Rfam family "Bacterial small subunit ribosomal RNA", at positions 60 to 578 of the family's 1533-position model. The record is from RNAcentral. Lineage: Bacteria; Pseudomonadati; Pseudomonadota; Alphaproteobacteria.